GCGGGUAUCGUAUAGUGGCUAUUAUAUUGCCUUGCCAUGGCAGAGACACGGGUUCGACUCCCGUUACCCGCUCCA
RNAcentral lists this transfer RNA (75 nucleotides) under Candidatus Peregrinibacteria bacterium. Its description in RNAcentral is "tRNA-Gly". It matches the Rfam family "tRNA". Rfam says of the family: Transfer RNA (tRNA) molecules are approximately 80 nucleotides in length. Their secondary structure includes four short double-helical elements and three loops (D, anti-codon, and T loops). Lineage: Bacteria; Candidatus Peregrinibacteriota. The record is from RNAcentral.